GUGUCAGCAGCCGCGGUAAGACAGAGGGUGCAAACGUUGUUCGGAAUCACUGGGCGUAAAGCGUGUGUAGGCGGUCUUAUAAGUCGGAUGUGAAAGCCCCGGGCUCAACCCGGGAAGUGCACCCGAUACUGUAGGACUAGAGUACUGGAGAGGUUGGUGGAAUUCUCGGUGUAGAGGUGAAAUUCGUAGAUAUCGAGAGGAACACCGGUGGCGAAGGCGGCCAACUGGACAGAUACUGACGCUGAGACACGAAAGCGUGGGGAGCAAACAGGAUUAGAUACCCCUGUAGUCC
Molecule: ribosomal RNA, 292 nt
Filed under: uncultured bacterium
Lineage: Bacteria
Description: partial 16S ribosomal RNA
Rfam family: Bacterial small subunit ribosomal RNA
Source: RNAcentral